This 1888-nucleotide ribosomal RNA is filed under the name Salmonella enterica subsp. enterica serovar Typhimurium. RNAcentral's name for it is "partial 23S ribosomal RNA". It matches the Rfam family "Bacterial large subunit ribosomal RNA", at positions 149 to 1874 of the family's 2925-position model. The record is from RNAcentral. Lineage: Bacteria; Pseudomonadati; Pseudomonadota; Gammaproteobacteria; Enterobacterales; Enterobacteriaceae.
UAUCAUUAACUGAAUCCAUAGGUUAAUGAGGCGAACCGGGGGAACUGAAACAUCUAAGUACCCCGAGGAAAAGAAAUCAACCGAGAUUCCCCCAGUAGCGGCGAGCGAACGGGGAGGAGCCCAGAGCCUGAAUCAGCAUGUGUGUUAGUGGAAGCGUCUGGAAAGGCGCGCGAUACAGGGUGACAGCCCCGUACACAAAAGCGCAUGUGCUGUGAGCUCGAUGAGUAGGGCGGGACACGUGGUAUCCUGUCUGAAUAUGGGGGGACCAUCCUCCAAGGCUAAAUACUCCUGACUGACCGAUAGUGAACCAGUACCGUGAGGGAAAGGCGAAAAGAACCCCGGCGAGGGGAGUGAAAAAGAACCUGAAACCGUGUACGUACAAGCAGUGGGAGCCCCACCACUAAGCCAGUGGUGAACUCCACAUCCGCAUCCUUUGCUGAGGAUACGGUUAACGGAGCGAAAGCGACGUUCAACCGCAAAACAAGCAGAGGGGGCUUAGUGGUGGGGUGACUGCGUACCUUUUGUAUAAUGGGUCAGCGACUUAUAUUCUGUAGCAAGGUUAACCGAAUAGGGGAGCCGGAGGGAAACCGAGUCUUAAUUGGGCGUUAAGUUGCAGGGUAUAGACCCGAAACCCGGUGAUCUAGCCAUGGGCAGGUUGAAGGUUGGGUAACACUAACUGGAGGACCGAACCGACUAAUGUUGAAAAAUUAGCGGAUGACCUGUGGCUGGGGGUGAAAGGCCAAUCAAACCGGGAGAUAGCUGGUUCUCCCCGAAAGCUAUUUAGGUAGCGCCUCGUGAAUUCAUCUCCGGGGGUAGAGCACUGUUUCGGCUAGGGGGCCAUCCCGGCUUACCAACCCGAUGCAAACUGCGAAUACCGGAGAAUGUUAUCACGGGAGACACACGGCGGGUGCUAACGUCCGUCGUGAAGAGGGAAACAACCCAGACCGCCAGCUAAGGUCCCAAAGUCAUGGUUAAGUGGGAAACGAUGUGGGAAGGCCCAGACAGCCAGGAUGUUGGCUUAGAAGCAGCCAUCAUUUAAAGAAAGCGUAAUAGCUCACUGGUCGAGUCGGCCUGCGCGGAAGAUGUAACGGGGCUAAACCAUGCACCGAAGCUGCGGCAGCGAACGUAUCACCCAAGACAACUUUACGGAGUUGACGAUUGACGGAGCGAAGCGACGUCAAAGCGUUCAUUAAAGUCGAGUUGGCUUAGGGAUACGUUCGUUGGGUAGGGGAGCGUUCUGUAAGCCUGUGAAGGUGUGUCGUGAGGCAUGCUGGAGGUAUCAGAAGUGCGAAUGCUGACAUAAGUAACGAUAAAGCGGGUGAAAAGCCCGCUCGCCGGAAGACCAAGGGUUCCUGUCCAACGUUAAUCGGGGCAGGGUGAGUCGACCCCUAAGGCGAGGCCGAAAGGCGUAGUCGAUGGGAAACGGGUUAAUAUUCCCGUACUUGGUGUUACUGCGAAGGGGGGACGGAGAAGGCUAUGUUGGCCGGGCGACGGUUGUCCCGGUUUAAGCGUGUAGGUGUGUGUUCCAGGUAAAUCCGGUUCACUUUAACACUGAGGCGUGACGACGAGGCACUACGGUGCUGAAGCAACAAAUGCCCUGCUUCCAGGAAAAGCCUCUAAGCAUCAGGUAACACGAAAUCGUACCCCAAACCGACACAGGUGGUCAGGUAGAGAAUACCAAGGCGCUUGAGAGAACUCGGGUGAAGGAACUAGGCAAAAUGGUGCCGUAACUUCGGGAGAAGGCACGCUGACACGUAGGUGAAGUGAUUUACUCAUGGAGCUGAAGUCAGUCGAAGAUACCAGCUGGCUGCAACUGUUUAUUAAAAACACAGCACUGUGCAAACACGAAAGUGGACGUAUACGGUGUGACGCCUGCCCGGUGCCGGAA